RNAcentral lists this long non-coding RNA (654 nucleotides) under Vulpes vulpes (red fox). RNAcentral describes it as "lncRNA (ENSVVUG00000028783.1)". The record is from RNAcentral. Lineage: Eukaryota; Metazoa; Chordata; Mammalia; Carnivora; Canidae.
UGCUGUCCAGAACAACUAUAAAACUGGAGAAAGACUCAGCUGUUAAACACUACACUGGAAAUGAAGUUUUGAAGUGGGUGCACGUUGACCAGGAGAAAGUGUGCAUUAACUUGAGGGGAAAGGGUCCAGUGAAUUCCAAGAACAGCAGGAGGAGUCUAAAAAGAAGUCGUGUCCUGCUGACGUAUUAAGAAUUUACAGAUGCACUGGGAUGGUGGCUGUAGGGAAGUCGUGAAGUAGACCACAUUGGUUCAUGGGACUGUCUACUGCCCUGAGGACAAGUGCCCAAUAAAGGCUACUGACAGGCUGACUGCAGCUGGAGAGGGUCACCAAGAUGACUCAGAGGGCACUCUACAGAGUCCUACUGCCCGCACAGGGUCAUUUUGCUGCAGAGUUCAAGAAGACACAGCUGUUGGAUCUGAUGACUGCCUUCACACAGCAGGGACUGUCACUUCAGGUAUCAACCAGACUAUGGAAAAGCUUAAUGAAAUAAUGCACAAAAGACUCAUAAGCAUCAGUGAAAUCUCUCAAGUAACCAAGCACCUUAUUUAUGAAAGAGCUCAGAUACUAUUACUUCUUAAGCCUUCGUCUGGAGGAAUCCAUCAAUGUCCUUUUUCAAACUCUAAAAACACUCUCCAAAGAAGAAAGCUUUCCUAG